GUUACUGCUAUCGGAGUUCGAUUAAGCCAUGCGAGUCUAAAGGUUUCUUCGGAAGCCUUGGCGGACUGCUCAGUAACACGUGGAUAACCUGCCCUUAGGUCUGGCAUAACCCCGGGAAACUGGGGAUAAUACCGGAUAGAUCAGGGGUCGCUGGAAUGCGCCCUGAUCCAAAGCUCCGGCGCCUAAGGAUGGGUCUGCGACCUAUCAGGUUGUAGUGGGUGUAAUGUACCUACUAGCCGACGACGGGUACGGGUUGUGAGAGCAAGAGCCCGGAGAUGGAUUCUGAGACACGAAUCCAGGCCCUACGGGGUGCAGCAGGCGCGAAACCUUUACAAUGUGCGAAAGCAUGAUAAGGGAACUCCGAGUGCCAGCAUUAAAUGUUGGCUGUCCUUGUGCCUAAAACGCACAAGAUAGCAAGGGCCGGGUAAGACCGGUGCCAGCCGCCGCGGUAACACCGGCGGCCCGAGUGAUAGCCGCUAUUAUUGGGUCUAAAGGGUCCGUAGCCGGUUUGAUAAGUCCUCUGGGAAAUCUGAUUGCUCAACAAUCAGGCUGCCAAGGGAUACUGUCAAACUUGAGACCGGGAGAGGUAAGAGGUACUUCAGGGGUAGGAGUGAAAUCUUAUAAUCCUUGGGGGACCGUCUGUGGCGAAGGCGUCUUACCAGAACGGGUCUGACGGUGAGGGACGAAAGCUGGGGGCGCGAACCGGAUUAGAUACCCGGGUAGUCCCAGCCGUAAACGAUGCUCGCUAUGUGUCAGAUACGAUGCGACCGUAUCUGGUGCCGUAGGGAAGCCGUGAAGCGAGCCACCUGGGAAGUACGGCCACAAGGCUGAAACUUAAAGGAAUUGGCGGGGGAGCACUACAACGGGUGGAGCCUGCGGUUU
RNAcentral lists this ribosomal RNA (882 nucleotides) under uncultured archaeon. RNAcentral's name for it is "bacterial SSU rRNA". It matches the Rfam family "Archaeal small subunit ribosomal RNA", at positions 23 to 903 of the family's 1478-position model. The record is from RNAcentral.